AUGAGCGCUGGCGGCGUGCCUCAUACAUGCAAGUCGAGCGAACGGACGAGAAGCUUGCUUCUCUGAUGUUAGCGGCGGACGGGUGAGUAACACGUGGAUAACCUACCUAUAAGACUGGGAUAACUUCGGGAAACCGGAGCUAAUACCGGAUGAUAUUUUGAACCGCAUGGUUCAAAAGUGAAAGACGGUCUUGCCGUCACUUAUAGAUGGAUCCGCGCUGCAUUAGCUAGUUGGUAAGGUAACGGCUUACCAAGGCAACGAUGCAUAGCCGACCUGAGAGGGUGAUCGGCCACACUGGAACUGAGACACGGUCCAGACUCCUACGGGAGGCAGCAGUAGGGAAUCUUCCGCAAUGGGCGAAAGCCUGACGGAGCAACGCCGCGUGAGUGAUGAAGGUCUUCGGAUCGUAAAACUCUGUUAUUAGGGAAGAACAUAUGUGUAAGUAACUGUGCACAUCUUGACGGUACCUAAUCAGAAAGCCACGGCUAACUACGUG
This 496-nucleotide ribosomal RNA is filed under the name uncultured bacterium. Its description in RNAcentral is "partial 16S ribosomal RNA". It matches the Rfam family "Bacterial small subunit ribosomal RNA", at positions 29 to 507 of the family's 1533-position model. The record is from RNAcentral.